GACUCCAUGGCCCAAUGGAUAAGGUGCUAGUCUACGAAACCAGAGAUUUUGGGUUCGAUCCCUAGUGGAGUCG
Molecule: transfer RNA, 73 nt
Organism: Ipomoea nil (Japanese morning glory)
Lineage: Eukaryota; Viridiplantae; Streptophyta; Magnoliopsida; Solanales; Convolvulaceae
Rfam family: tRNA
About the family: Transfer RNA (tRNA) molecules are approximately 80 nucleotides in length. Their secondary structure includes four short double-helical elements and three loops (D, anti-codon, and T loops).
Source: Rfam